GUGUUGGUGGGCAAAGCCCAUCGGUGCCGUCGCAAACGCAAUAAGCAUUCCACCUGGGGAGUACGUUCGCAAGAAUGAAACUCAAAGGAAUUGACGGGGACCCGCACAAGCGGUGGAGCAUGUGGUUUAAUUAGAAGCAACGCGAAGAACCUUACCAAGUCUUGACAUCCUCCUGAAUGAUGGGUAAAGCCAUCAGGCCUUCGGGACAGGAGAGACAGGUGGUGCAUGGUUGUCGUCAGCUCGUGUCGUGAGAUGUUGGGUUAAGUCCCGCAACGAGCGCAACCCUUAUCAUUAGUAGCCAGCAGGUAGAGCUGGGGACUCUAGUGAGACUGCCAGGGAGAACCUGGAGGAAGGUGGGGAUGACGUCAAAU
RNAcentral lists this ribosomal RNA (371 nucleotides) under uncultured bacterium. RNAcentral's name for it is "bacterial SSU rRNA". It matches the Rfam family "Bacterial small subunit ribosomal RNA", at positions 820 to 1190 of the family's 1533-position model. The record is from RNAcentral.